Molecule: ribosomal RNA, 459 nt
Filed under: uncultured bacterium
Lineage: Bacteria
Description: partial 16S ribosomal RNA
Rfam family: Bacterial small subunit ribosomal RNA
Source: RNAcentral
CCUACGUGAGGCAGCAGUGAGGAAUAUUGGUCAAUGGGCGGAAGCCUGAACCAGCCAAGUCGCGUGAGGGAAUAAGGCCCUACGGGUCGUAAACCUCUUUUGCCGGGGAGCAACGGGCGUCACGUGUGGCGCCACUGAGAGUACCCGGAGAAAAAGCAUCGGCUAACUCCGUGCCAGCAGCCGCGGUAAUACGGAGGAUGCGAGCGUUAUCCGGAUUUAUUGGGUUUAAAGGGUGCGUAGGCGGAUCGUUAAGUCAGUGGUCAAAUUGAGGGGCUCAACCCCUUCCCGCCAUUGAAACUGGCGCUCUUGAGUGGAAGAGAAGUAUGCGGAAUGCGUGGUGUAGCGGUGAAAUGCAUAGAUAUCACGCAGAACCCCGAUUGCGAAGGCAGCAUGCCGGCUUCCGACUGACGCUGAAGCACGAAAGCGUGGGGAUCGAACAGGAUUAGAUACCCGAGUAGU